RNAcentral lists this long non-coding RNA (1219 nucleotides) under Macaca fascicularis (crab-eating macaque). Its description in RNAcentral is "lncRNA (ENSMFAG00000064366.1)". Lineage: Eukaryota; Metazoa; Chordata; Mammalia; Primates; Cercopithecidae. The record is from RNAcentral.
AUGUACUAGAAACUAUUGUUUGUAAUAGAGAAAAGUUAGAAACAACCUGUCAAUGGAUUAAUACAUUGUGGUAUAUUCCUAGAGUGGAAUACUAUGCAAUAGGGGAAAAUAAAGUAGAGAUAUCUCCCAUAAUGAGAUCCAUAUGGGCUAUAGGGGAAGACCAUGAAACAUUGCCAUAUGAGAAAAGCAAUUUAGGAAAGUGUUUAAAUAAAUAUGGUGCCUCUAUACAGUGAGAUACUAGGCAAUCAGUAAUAAUGAGUUGGUAGAACAAUACGUAUUAAGUGGAAAGAUGUUCAAGAUAUUAAUAUUUUACCAAACAGUGAAUGGAAUAAUCUUUUCUAUCCAAUAGAAUGUCUUUUAAUAAAAGUAUGCACAUAUAUGCUUAAAUAUAUACAGAGUAUCUCUGGAAGGACAUGCAAGAAACUGAUAACUUGUUUUCUCCCAGGGAGUAGAAAAGGAAGGUUGGGUGAAGAAGGGGAUAUUUAUUUUUUACUUUACACCCUUGGGUGCUACAAAAUUUUUACAUGAGUACAUGUAUAUGUGUAUGUGUGCACACACACAUAUGUACACAUACAUAUAUAUGGGUUUAUUCUGUUGCUCUAAGGUUUGUGUUUCUUCGUGUUUUACCUGUAAAACUUCAUCUGUGAUAUGGUUUGGUUCUGUGUCCCUGCCCAAAACUCAUCUUGAGUUGUAAUCCCCACAUGUCAGGGGAGGGGCCUGGUGGGAGGUGAUUAAAUCAUGGGACAGACUUCCCCCUUACUGUUCUCGUGCUAGUGAGUGAGUUCUCACGAGAUCCGGUUGUGUGAAAGUGUGUGGCAUCUCCCCCUUUGCUGUCUGUCUCUCUCCUGCUCUGCCGUUGUAAAUAUGUGCACCCUUCCCUUGACCUUCUGCCAUGAUUGUAAGUUUCCUGAGGCCUUCUAGUCAUGCUUCCUGUUAAGCCUGUGGAACUAUGAGUCAAUUAAACCUCUUUUCUUUAUAAAUUACCCAAUCUCAAGUAGUUCUUUAUAGCAGUGUGAGAACAGACUAAUACAAUCUGGAAUUUUUAUUGGUAGAAAGAGUAAGGUCACAAGGAGCAGCGGCUCACACCUGUAAUUCCAGCACUUUGGGAGACUGAGGCAGGAGGAUUACUUAAGGCCAGGAGGUCAAGGCUGCAGUGAACUAUGACUGCCACUUCACUCCAGCCUGGGCAACAGAGUGAGAUCCGACUCAAAAAAAAAAA